This 730-nucleotide ribosomal RNA is filed under the name uncultured bacterium. RNAcentral's name for it is "bacterial SSU rRNA". It matches the Rfam family "Bacterial small subunit ribosomal RNA", at positions 771 to 1501 of the family's 1533-position model. The record is from RNAcentral.
AACAGGAUUAGAUACCCUGGUAGUCCACGCCGUAAACGAUGUCGACUUGGAGGUUGUGCCCUUGAGGCGUGGCUUCCGGAGCUAACGCGUUAAGUCGACCGCCUGGGGAGUACGGCCGCAAGGUUAAAACUCAAAUGAAUUGACGGGGGCCCGCACAAGCGGUGGAGCAUGUGGUUUAAUUCGAUGCAACGCGAAGAACCUUACCUACUCUUGACAUCCAGAGAACUUUCCAGAGAUGGAUUGGUGCCUUCGGGAACUCUGAGACAGGUGCUGCAUGGCUGUCGUCAGCUCGUGUUGUGAAAUGUUGGGUUAAGUCCCGCAACGAGCGCAACCCUUAUCCUUUGUUGCCAGCGGUUAGGCCGGGAACUCAAAGGAGACUGCCAGUGAUAAACUGGAGGAAGGUGGGGAUGACGUCAAGUCAUCAUGGCCCUUACGAGUAGGGCUACACACGUGCUACAAUGGCGCAUACAAAGAGAAGCGACCUCGCGAGAGCAAGCGGACCUCAUAAAGUGCGUCGUAGUCCGGAUUGGAGUCUGCAACUCGACUCCAUGAAGUCGGAAUCGCUAGUAAUCGUAGAUCAGAAUGCUACGGUGAAUACGUUCCCGGGCCUUGUACACACCGCCCGUCACACCAUGGGAGUUUGUUGCACCAGAAGUAGCUAGCCUAACUGCAAGGAGGGCGGUUACCACGGUGUGGCCGAUGACUGGGGUGAAGUCGUAACAAGGUAACC